This 577-nucleotide unclassified non-coding RNA is filed under the name Hevea brasiliensis (rubber tree). The record is from RNAcentral. Lineage: Eukaryota; Viridiplantae; Streptophyta; Magnoliopsida; Malpighiales; Euphorbiaceae.
GGCAGUUGUGAGGGAUUGAUUAUCAAAACACUAACUAAAGAUGCUACAUAUGAGCCUUCAAAGCGGUCAAAUAACUGGCUUAAACUGAAGAAGGACUACAUGGAGAGUAUUGGCGACUCACUGGAUCUGGUACCAAUUGGUGCUUUUCAUGGUCGGGGGAAACGUACUGGUGUUUACGGAGCCUUUCUCCUAGCUUGUUAUGAUAGCAACAACGAGGAGUUUCAGAGCAUCUGUAAAAUCGGAACUGGGUUUUCUGAAUUACAGCUUGAGGAACGCUCUUCCAGCCUUCGUUCUAAAGUUAUUCCUAAACCAAAGUCAUAUUACAGGUAUGGGGAAACCAUCAAUCCAGAUGUUUGGUUUGAACCUACCGAGGUCUGGGAAGUGAAAGCUGCUGAUCUUACUAUCAGCCCUGUCCACCGUGCUGCCCAAGGUAUCGUGGAUCCCGCGAAGGGAAUUUCAUUACGAUUUCCACGUCUGAGCCGUGUACGAGAAGACAAGAAGCCUGAGGAGGCCUCAUCAGCAGAGAUGGUAGCGGAUAUGUAUAACGCUCAGAAGCACAAUCAAAAAAACAAUCAGG